RNAcentral lists this ribosomal RNA (515 nucleotides) under Songthela sp. XUX-2013-275. RNAcentral's name for it is "partial 16S ribosomal RNA". It matches the Rfam family "Bacterial large subunit ribosomal RNA", at positions 1783 to 2627 of the family's 2925-position model. The record is from RNAcentral. Lineage: Eukaryota; Metazoa; Arthropoda; Arachnida; Araneae; Liphistiidae.
GAGCUCCCAUGGCGCCUGUUUAUCAAAAACAUGGUUUUUUGUGGUAAUAAAAAAUCUAACCUGCUCCAUGCGUAAGUAAAUAGCCGCAGUAUUAUGACUGUGCUAAGGUAGCAUAAUCAUUUGUCUUUUAAAUGAGGUCUUGAAUGAAAGGUUGGUCGAAGGAAGAGCUUUCUCUUUAUUAAGAAAUGAAUUUAAUUAAUUAGUAAAAAGGCUAAUAUAAAUUUGAGGGACGAUAAGACCCUAUUGAGCUUAAUUUUAUAAUUUUACUGGGGCGGUAAUGUAAGAAAAAAAUCUUAUUUAUUAUAAGUGAAAUCUAUUGACCCAAUAGUAUUGAGGGGUAGAUAAAGCUACCAUAGGGAUAACAGCUUAAUUUUCCUUUGAAGUCCUUAUUUGAAUGAAAGAUUGAGACCUCGAUGUUGAAUUAAAGAAUCUUAUUAGUGUAGUAACUAAAUUUAGUAAGUCUGUUCGACUUUUAAAUCUUUACGUGAUCUGAGUUCAGACCGGCCAUGGGAGCU